Molecule: ribosomal RNA, 618 nt
Filed under: uncultured bacterium
Lineage: Bacteria
Description: bacterial SSU rRNA
Rfam family: Bacterial small subunit ribosomal RNA
Source: RNAcentral
CCUACGGGAGGCAGCAGUGGGGAAUAUUGGACAAUGGGCGCAAGCCUGAUCCAGCCAUACCGCGUGGGUGAAGAAGGCCUUCGGGUUGUAAAGCCCUUUUGUUGGGAAAGAAAUCCAGCUGGUUAAUACCCGGUUGGGAUGACGGUACCCAAAGAAUAAGCACCGGCUAACUUCGUGCCAGCAGCCGCGGUAAUACGAAGGGUGCAAGCGUUACUCGGAAUUACUGGGCGUAAAGCGUGCGUAGGUGGUCGUUUAAGUCUGUUGUGAAAGCCCUGGGCUCAACCUGGGAACUGCAGUGGAAACUGGACGACUAGAGUGUGGUAGAGGGUAGCGGAAUUCCUGGUGUAGCAGUGAAAUGCGUAGAGAUCAGGAGGAACAUCCAUGGCGAAGGCAGCUACCUGAACCAACACUGACACUGAGGCACGAAAGCGUGGGGAGCAAACAGGAUUAGAUACCCUGGUAGUCCACGCCCUAAACGAUGCGAACUGGAUGUUGGGUGCAAUUUGGCACGCAGUAUCGAAGCUAACGCGUUAAGUUCGCCGCCUGGGGAGUACGGUCGCAAGACUGAAACUCAAAUGAAUUGACCGGNNGAGAGNGCGAGACGACGACGAGGAGAGG